RNAcentral lists this ribosomal RNA (252 nucleotides) under uncultured bacterium. RNAcentral describes it as "partial 16S ribosomal RNA". It matches the Rfam family "Bacterial small subunit ribosomal RNA", at positions 524 to 776 of the family's 1533-position model. The record is from RNAcentral.
UACAGAGGUCCCAAGCGUUGUUCGGAUUCACUGGGCGUAAAGGGUGCGUAGGUGGCGAGGUAAGUCGGAUGUGAAAGCUCGGAGCUCAACUCCGAAAUGGCAUUGGAAACUACCUUGCUCGAGGGUUGGAAGGGGACUGGAAUGCUUGGUGUAGCAGUGAAAUGCGUAGAUAUCAAGCGGAACACCAGUGGCGAAGGCGAGUCCCUGGACAACUCCUGACACUGAGGCACGAAAGCUAGGGGAGCAAACAGG